UACGUAGGGGGCGAGCGUUGUCCGAAUUCACUGGGCGUAAAGCGCGCGUAGGCGGGUCUUUAAGUUGGGGGUGAAAUGCCGAGGCUCAACCUCGGAACUGCCUUCAAAACUGGGGGCCUUGAGGUAUGGAGGGGGAAGUGGAAUUCCUGGUGUAGCGGUGAAAUGCGUAGAUAUCAGGAGGAACACCUGUGGCGAAGGCGGCUUCCUGGCCAUAUCCUGACGCUGAGGUGCGAAAGCUAGGGGAGCGAACGGG
Molecule: ribosomal RNA, 253 nt
Filed under: uncultured bacterium
Lineage: Bacteria
Description: partial 16S ribosomal RNA
Rfam family: Bacterial small subunit ribosomal RNA
Source: RNAcentral